GCUGGGUGUGGUGGCUCAUGCCUGUAAUCCCAGUGGCUCAGGAGGCUGAGGCAGGAGGAUCGCGAGUUCAAAAACAGCCUCAGCAAAAGUGAGGUACUAAGUAACUCAAUGAGACCCUGUCUCUA
Molecule: small RNA, 125 nt
Filed under: Marmota monax (woodchuck)
Lineage: Eukaryota; Metazoa; Chordata; Mammalia; Rodentia; Sciuridae
Source: RNAcentral